Plodia interpunctella (Indianmeal moth) is the source of this 2776-nucleotide long non-coding RNA. RefSeq lists it as uncharacterized. The record is from RefSeq and is a predicted model, not a curated record. The transcript is spliced from 3 exons. NCBI's taxonomy places the organism in Eukaryota, Metazoa, Arthropoda, Insecta, Lepidoptera, Pyralidae.
GAAAAACCAUCAAGUAGGACAUGCCAAUGUUUUUCCUGGCUUCAAAACAUGAACGUUUCAAAAUUUGGGGUCCCUACGCCGUAAAUCUGAGAAGUGCCGCCCACCCGCUGCUGCAUCACACUCUUGCGCUGUUUUUAUUGGACUUUGGGAGGUAAUUUAGAAUGCUGGCAACUGGUUAACUGUAAGAUAUCAAUCUAUUUCUAGUUUGAUAUGAAGUUCAAGUGUAAAAAAGUGCAAGUGUGCAAGUUUUUGUGCAAGUGUGAAGGUGUGCUAUAUCAAAUAAAAGUUAGAUUUAUCACAGUGAGCCAAACGUUCAUUUUCCCUAAAACAUAGAUUAUGUAAUACUUCCAGUACUUAAAACUUUGCUAAACAUUCGUAACUUCAUCAGAGCUAAUUAAAAACUUUCAGAUACGCCUUUGAUCACACACAGUUUAAAACUCUUAAUUAAAUUAACUUAAGACGUCAUCGACAACGUUAUGGAAACAUAAAAUAACUUGACUAAGUCACUUUUAAGUGCAAGUACACAAGGAGUGUGGGGAUAGUGGGUGCUCGGCACAUUUGUGAGACAAUUGUAGGAACUUAUAGCCAGCACACCUGGCUCACGAUUUAACCCUUAAGAUGAGAGUAAAUAAGGUUUAUUCUAAAAAUGCAUGUUUAUAUUUUCUCAAGUACAAUUCUCGUCAUUAAGCUGUCGCACGAUAUUAAAGUUUUAAUACCAGAGAUAUGGAAGUAUGUAGUCGUGUUGAUCGUAAAGAGAAUGCGUUUAUUCUCGAAACUGUGUCGCGCUGUUACUCCAUAAAAUGUGUUUCAUAGAGUGCUUGCUACCCUUUCAUAGGGUGUCGGCUAUUCGUGUUGACGUUUGAAUGGCGAGAUGCCAUUUUGUUCUCGUUGCGUAUAUUCUGCAUUUCUGUAAAUAUCAUCAUUAUAUUUACAUGUAAAUUUUCAAAAUCAAUGAUGUUACCUUGCUUGUUUAAAAAAAUUACAUAACCGCAAAGGAUAAAUUGUUUUUAACGUUCAAGUUUAAUUAAUGUGUAAGUACUUAUAUGAACAAACGUAAAGUAAAAACAUAUGAAUAAACUUGAAUACGUACAAUAUACAUUACCAACAGAGGUUUUGUAAUGACCAAAUCAUAAACUUCAAUGUACCUAAGAAAGUUUCACUCAAAGUUCGCGUAAGCCGUGUGAAAUUGCGCAGAGCGGUAGCGUGGUCGUAGCAGUCUAUGAUCGUAGAUACAGUUCGUAGUCUUUGCUACGCGACUCGUAGCGCUGAGCUGAAAAAUGUACCUAUACGCGUUAACUUCAAACCUAUGUGAUUGUGUGAUGAGCAAAAUCAAGAUCACAGAAAUUACAUUUAAUAUAUUAUUUUAGCCAGUAACAGUGCAUAUUUUUUGUAAAGAUAAAUAUGUUCUUGUAAAAUUAAGUUCUCUAAAAAUCCAUUCUGCAAUCGUAAGAUUUUUGAUGACAUUACAAUACAAACUUCUUUGCUUAAAAGUGAAGACAAGAAUUUAUAUCAGAAGCGAACACUGCUAAUAAAUGGUCACUAAAAAGUUAUUUAAAUGUUAUUCUGGUCGUCUUUAGACGAAAACUUAUAUAAAUGGCAGAAUUAACAUUCUUAGAUAACACACUUGCGUGAUAUUAUUAUAAUUUGUUUAUUUAUAUGUCGUUAAAAUUGUUUAAUUGUUAUUUUAUAGCCGCGUGGUCUGGGCCACGAAUUAAAAAUGUAUCUAGGUGUCCACUUCUAUAUUAUAAUGAAUGUUCAUAUGAAAUCUUCAUAUAAACAUGGUAUUAUUAAUAGUUUAGUUGUACAGUAAUACUUUGAAAUAUUAAAGGACGUAUUCAACAAAUGUACUGAAUUCACACGCUGUUUGAAUAAUAAAAGAAAGAAAAUAAAAGAUUUUGUUCCUUUAUGAUGACACCUAAUACCUACAUGUUUACCGAAAAAUGACAGUCACAGAUUUUAAGGAAGGUGUGUUGAGACCCGAGGUUAGUCGAGGAUCGCAAACACACGACUUGUGAAUCAUACUUUCUUUAGAGUGAUACUUAUUGCUUUAUAGUAUACCUGCGUAUGACGAUAAUAAAAAAAAAAGAUUAAAAUACAAUUUCUGUUGCAUAAUUACAACAACGUUCAUCAAAUAUUCACAUUCGCAGUACCUAGUUCCUAUUUUUUAAAUAUAAAAUCAUAUUUUCUGCCAGUCUGUAUUAUAAAAAUAUUUCUAGGAGUUUGAAAAAUAAAUGAUUCAUUCAUUUUUCUUUUUAAUUUGUCAAAUUGAAACUGGCCGCCAUACUUCGCGGUGGUCUGCGUUUGCACCGUUAGCUUUAAAUUUACAUGUGGCUGUUUGAAUACUUAAAUUAAAUAGCAAUUUCCAUUUAAAUCGGACCGUUUACUGGCAAUGUAUUAAGCCAUCUAAUACAUUUAACGAUGCCACGUUUGGUAAUCCUGUGAAUCUCUCUGUCAGAAACAGCAGGGUGCUACAUUUCAACCAUUUAAUUUGAAUUAUGCUCUGAUAUAUUUAAAAGCCCGUUAAAAAGUAAUAAAAGUGUAAUAGACUUCUAAAUAAGUUGUUUUAAAUGUUUUCGGCUAUUGUAACGGAUGUUAAGUAAUUGAUUCGUAACUGACAUAACUUAGUUGAUAUUAGUCCUAAUAUUAUUUUUCAAUGGAAUUGUAAUUGAAUAGCGUUACUGUUAAUGCUAUAUAAUUUAAAUAUAUACUAUUAUAUAUCUGUAGUAAUAGUGGUAGGAAUUUAUGUUGAUUUCUCUAUUUCUACUGUCUGUAUGAA